RNAcentral lists this ribosomal RNA (1524 nucleotides) under Honduran Gliricidia little leaf phytoplasma. Its description in RNAcentral is "bacterial SSU rRNA". It matches the Rfam family "Bacterial small subunit ribosomal RNA". The record is from RNAcentral. Lineage: Bacteria; Bacillati; Mycoplasmatota; Mollicutes; Acholeplasmatales; Acholeplasmataceae.
AGUUUGAUCCUGGCUCAGGAUUAACGCUGGCGGCGCGCCUAAUACAUGCAAGUCGAACGGAAACCUUAGGGUUUUAGUGGCGAACGGGUGAGUAACACGUAAGCAACCUGCCUUUAAGACGUGGAUAACAAUUGGAAACAGUUGCUAAGACAGGAUAGGAAAUUAAGAGGCAUCUUUUAAUUUUUAAAAGACCUUUUUCGAAAGGUAUACUUAAAGAGGGGCUUGCGCCACAUUAGUUAGUUGGUAAGGUAAAAGCUUACCAAGACGAUGAUGUGUAGCUGGUCUGAGAGGUCGAACAGCCACAUUGGGACUGAGACACGGCCCAAACUCCUACGGGAGGCAGCAGUAAGGAAUUUUUGGCAAUGGAGGAAACUCUGACCGAGCGACGCCGCGUGAACAAUGAAGUACUUCGGUAUGUAAAGUUCUUUUAUUGAAAAAGAAAAAAUAGUGGAAAAACUAUCUUGACAUUAUUCAAUGAAUAAGCCCCGGCUAAUUAUGUGCCAGCAGCCGCGGUAAUACAUAAGGGGCGAGCGUUAUCCGGAAUUAUUGGGCGUAAAGGGUGCGUAGGUGGUUUGAUAAGUCUAUAGUUUAAAUGCAGUGCUUAACGCUGUAGCGCUAUAGAAACUGUCUGACUAGAGUUAGAUAGAGGCAAGCGGAAUUCCAUGUGUAGCGGUAAAAUGCGUAAAUAUAUGGAGGAACACCAGAGGCGUAGGCGGCUUGCUGGGUCUUAACUGACGCUGAGGCACGAAAGCGUGGGGAGCAAACAGGAUUAGAUACCCUGGUAGUCCACGCCGUAAACGAUGAGUACUAAGUGUCGGGUUUUGACUCGGUACUGAAGUUAACACAUUAAGUACUCCGCCUGAGUAGUACGUACGCAAGUAUGAAACUUAAAGGAAUUGACGGGACCCCGCACAAGCGGUGGAUCAUGUUGUUUAAUUCGAAGAUACACGAAAAACCUUACCAGGUCUUGACAUAAUUUUGCGACAUUAUAGAAAUAUAAUGAAGGUUAUCAGAAUUACAGGUGGUGCAUGGUUGUCGUCAGCUCGUGUCGUGAGAUGUUAGGUUAAGUCCUAAAACGAGCGCAACCCUUGUCGUUAGUUGCGACCACGUAAUGGUGAGCACUUUAGCGAGACUGCCAAUGAAAAAUUGGAGGAAGGUGAGGAUUACGUCAAAUCAUCAUGCCCCUUAUGAUCUGGGCUACAAACGUGAUACAAUGACUGUUACAAAGAGUAGCUGUAACGUGAGUUUAUGGCCAAUCUCAAAAAAACAGUCUCAGUUCGGAUUGAAGUCUGCAACUCGACUUCAUGAAGUUGGAAUCGCUAGUAAUCGCGAAUCAGCAUGUCGCGGUGAAUACGUUCUCGGGGUUUGUACACACCGCCCGUCAAACCACGAAAGUUGAUAAUACCCGAAAGCGGUCGCCUAACUUCGUUAGAAGAGGGAGCCGUCUAAGGUAGGAUCGAUGAUUGGGGUUAAGUCGUAACAAGGUAUCCCUACCGGAAGGUGGGGAUGGAUCACCUCCUUUCU